ACGGGUGAGUAACACGUGGGUAACCUGCCUUGAUGAUUGGGACAACCCCGGGAAACCGGGGCUAAUACCAAAUGUGCUCCUUCCCUCUGAGGGGAAGGUGGAGAGGAAGCUUCGGCCUCCGCAUCGAGAUGGGCCCGCGGCGCAUUAGCUUGUUGGUGGGGUAACGGCCUACCAAGGCGACGAUGCGUAGCUGGUCUGAGAGGACGAUCAGCCACACUGGGACUGAGACACGGCCCAGACUCCUACGGGAGGCAGCAGUGGGGAAUCUUGCACAAUGCACGAAAGUGUGAUGCAGCCACGCCGCGUGCGGGAAGACGGCCUUCGGGUUGUAAACCGCUUUCAGUUGGGACGAAGGUUCACGGGUUAAUAGCUCGUUGGACUGACGGUACCUUCACAAGAAGCCCCGGCUAACUACGUGCCAGCAGCCGCGGUAAUACGUAGGGGGCAAGCGUUGUCCGGAAUCAUUGGGCGUAAAGCGCGUGUAGGCGGCUCGAUAAGUCUGCUGUGAAAGUCCAGGGCCCAACCCUGGGAUGCCGGUGGAUACUGUCGAGCUCGAGUCCGGAAGAGGAGUGUGGAAUUCCUGGUG
Molecule: ribosomal RNA, 586 nt
Filed under: uncultured Solirubrobacterales bacterium
Lineage: Bacteria; Bacillati; Actinomycetota; Thermoleophilia; Solirubrobacterales
Description: bacterial SSU rRNA
Rfam family: Bacterial small subunit ribosomal RNA
Source: RNAcentral